RNAcentral lists this ribosomal RNA (250 nucleotides) under uncultured bacterium. Its description in RNAcentral is "partial 16S ribosomal RNA". It matches the Rfam family "Bacterial small subunit ribosomal RNA", at positions 524 to 773 of the family's 1533-position model. The record is from RNAcentral.
AACGUAGGGGGCAAGCGUUGUCCGGAAUAACUGGGCGUAAAGGGCGUGUAGGCGGCCUUGAAAGUCAGUCGUGAAAUCCAUCGGCUUAACCGAUGGCUGGCGAUUGAAACUACAGAGCUUGAGUGCAGUAGAGGGGAGUGGAAUUCCCAGUGUAGCGGUGAAAUGCGUAGAUAUUGGGAGGAACACCAGUGGCGAAAGCGGCUCCCUGGCCUGUAACUGACGCUGAGGCGCGAAAGCGUGGGUAGCAAAC